RNAcentral lists this ribosomal RNA (515 nucleotides) under Gotra sp. 3 BFS-2018. Its description in RNAcentral is "partial 16S large subunit ribosomal RNA". The stretch from base 388 to 515 matches the Rfam family "Archaeal large subunit ribosomal RNA", at positions 2542 to 2669 of the family's 2987-position model. Lineage: Eukaryota; Metazoa; Arthropoda; Insecta; Hymenoptera; Ichneumonidae. The record is from RNAcentral.
ACAUGUCUUUAAGAUAAUAAUUUAAAGUCUGAUCUGCUCAAUGAGAUAUUAAAUAGCUGCAGUAUUUUGACUGUGCAAAGGUAGCAUAAUCAAUAGUUUUUUAAUUAAAAGCUGGUAUGAAUGAUUUGAUAAGGUAAAUAUUGUCUCAAAUUUAAUAAAAUUAUAAUUUUUUUUAUUGUAAAAAAACAAUAAUGAAUUUAAAAGACGAGAAGACCCUAUAGAUUUUUAUUAUUUUUUUUUAAAAAAAAUUUAAAUUAAUAAAUAAAUUUUAUUAAAAAAUAAUUUGGUUGGGGAAAUUAUUAAAUUUAAUAAAUUUUAAUUAUUUUAAAACUAAAAUUAAUGAAUUUUUGAUCUUAAUUAUAAAUUAAAAGAUUAAAUUACCUUAGGGAUAACAGCGUAAUUUUUUUGGAGAGAUCAUAUUGAUAAAAAAGAUUGCGACCUCGAUGUUGAAUUAAGAUAAAAUUUUAAUGAAGAAGUUAAAAAAUUUUGGUCUGUUCGACCAUUAAAAUCUUACG